RNAcentral lists this ribosomal RNA (483 nucleotides) under uncultured bacterium. RNAcentral's name for it is "bacterial SSU rRNA". It matches the Rfam family "Bacterial small subunit ribosomal RNA", at positions 30 to 507 of the family's 1533-position model. The record is from RNAcentral.
UUGAACGCUGGCGGCAUGCCUUACACAUGCAAGUCGAACGGCAGCACGGGAGCAAUCCUGGUGGCGAGUGGCGAACGGGUGAGUAAUAUAUCGGAACGUGCCCAGUCGUGGGGGAUAAUGUAGCGAAAGCUACGCUAAUACCGCAUACGAUCUAUGGAUGAAAGCGGGGGAUCGCAAGACCUCGCGCGAUUGGAGCGGCCGAUAUCAGAUUAGGUAGUUGGUGAGGUAAAGGCUCACCAAGCCGACGAUCUGUAGCUGGUCUGAGAGGACGACCAGCCACACUGGGACUGAGACACGGCCCAGACUCCUACGGGAGGCAGCAGUGGGGAAUUUUGGACAAUGGGCGCAAGCCUGAUCCAGCAAUGCCGCGUGCAGGAUGAAGGCCUUCGGGUUGUAAACUGCUUUUGUACGGAACGAAACGGUGAGCUCUAAUACAGUUUGCUAAUGACGGUACCGUAAGAAUAAGCGCCGGCUAACUACGUG